GUGCCAGCAGCCGCGGUAAUACGGAGGGUGCGAGCGUUGUCCGGAAUCACUGGGCGUAAAGGGCGCGUAGGCGGUUUGUUAAGCGUGCGGUGAAAGCCCGGGGCUCAACCCCGGGUCUGCCGUGCGAACUGGCGGACUAGAGCACUGUAGAGGCAGGUGGAAUUCCGGGUGUAGCGGUGGAAUGCGUAGAGAUCCGGAAGAACACCGGUGGCGAAGGCGGCCUGCUGGGCAGUUGCUGACGCUGAUGCGCGACAGCGUGGGGAGCAAACAGGAUUAGAUACCCCGGUAGUCC
RNAcentral lists this ribosomal RNA (292 nucleotides) under uncultured bacterium. RNAcentral describes it as "partial 16S ribosomal RNA". It matches the Rfam family "Bacterial small subunit ribosomal RNA", at positions 505 to 796 of the family's 1533-position model. The record is from RNAcentral.